UCGGUGCUCGUCCAAUUGGCAGGACGCGAGACUUUGACUCUCGAGAUCGUGGUUCGAGUCCACGGCGCCGAGCCA
This 75-nucleotide transfer RNA is filed under the name Gammaproteobacteria bacterium. RNAcentral describes it as "tRNA-Gln". It matches the Rfam family "tRNA". Rfam says of the family: Transfer RNA (tRNA) molecules are approximately 80 nucleotides in length. Their secondary structure includes four short double-helical elements and three loops (D, anti-codon, and T loops). The record is from RNAcentral. Lineage: Bacteria; Pseudomonadati; Pseudomonadota; Gammaproteobacteria.